RNAcentral lists this transfer RNA (64 nucleotides) under Tessaromerus quadriarticulatus. Its description in RNAcentral is "tRNA-Tyr". It matches the Rfam family "tRNA". From Rfam's summary of the family: Transfer RNA (tRNA) molecules are approximately 80 nucleotides in length. Their secondary structure includes four short double-helical elements and three loops (D, anti-codon, and T loops). Further hydrogen bonds mediate the characteristic L-shaped molecular structure. tRNAs have two regions of fundamental functional importance: the anti-codon, which is responsible for specific mRNA codon recognition, and the 3' end, to which the tRNAs corresponding amino acid is attached (by aminoacyl-tRNA synthetases). tRNAs cope with the degeneracy of the genetic code in two manners: having more than one tRNA (with a specific anti-codon) for a particular amino acid; and 'wobble' base-pairing, i.e. permitting non-standard base-pairing at the 3rd anti-codon position. The record is from RNAcentral. Lineage: Eukaryota; Metazoa; Arthropoda; Insecta; Hemiptera; Urostylididae.
GAUAAGAUGGCUGAAUUUAAAGGUAAUAAAUUGUAAAUUUAUUUAUGGGUGUACCCUCUUAUCA